This 478-nucleotide ribosomal RNA is filed under the name uncultured marine bacterium. Its description in RNAcentral is "bacterial SSU rRNA". It matches the Rfam family "Bacterial small subunit ribosomal RNA", at positions 876 to 1382 of the family's 1533-position model. The record is from RNAcentral.
GGGAGUACGGUCGCAAGAUUAAACUCAAAGGAAUUGACGGGGCCGACAACGGUGGAGCAUGUGGUUUAAUUCCGACGCAACGCGAGAACCUUACCAACCCUUGACAUCCUGUGCACUUACCAGAGAUGGAUCGUUUCCUUCGGGACGCAGUGACAGGUGCUGCAUGGCUGUCGUCAGCUCGUGUCGUCACAUGUUCGGUUAAGUCCGGCAACGAGCGCAACCCACAUCUUUAGUUGCCAGCAUGUUAUGCUGGGCACUCUAAGGAAACUGCCCGUGAUAAGCGGGAGGAAGGUGUGGAUGACGUCAAGUCCUCAUGGCCUUACGGGUUGGGCUACACACGUGCUACAAUGGCAGGUACAAUGGGUUAAUCCCCAAAAGCUGUCUCAGUUCGGAUUGGGGUCUGCAACUCGACCCCAUGAAGUCGGAAUCGCUAGUAAUCGCGUAACAGCAUGACGCGGUGAAUACGUUCCCGGGCCUU